Non-coding RNA from Meleagris gallopavo (turkey), 6000 nucleotides. The record is from RefSeq and is a predicted model, not a curated record. NCBI's taxonomy places the organism in Eukaryota, Metazoa, Chordata, Aves, Galliformes, Phasianidae.
GACCCUGCGGGUGGAUCCUAGGGACCCGAGGUCCCGGCUGGCGGCAUCCUGACGCGCCCCGGUGGGGUCCCGUAGCGCCCGCGGGGACCGCACUGGGGGUCCGCGGUGCUGCGCUGCGGGCUGGGGGUGAGCCGGUGCUGCUGGGCGCUGCCGGCUGCGAUGCUCGAGGGGAGAACCCGUGCCGGCUUUAAAUCCUACGGGUUUUCAAUCCCUAUGGAGAGGAGGGGACCCCGUGGCUUCAGGGUGCUGAGGGACCUGAAGGACGGGGAGCCGAGCACCCCGCUGCCGUGCUGGGGCUUUGUGGGCAGCCCCUCCUUGUGCUUCUGCGUGGUGCUGAGCUGGGUGCCGUGUUCGGGACGGUCCCCGUCCACAGCUGGGAGCUGCAGCCUCUGCUCAUCCUGCAGCAGAAAUACGGGGCGUGAUCCCAACGGAAGCCCCUCUGUGUCCUUCUGGCAGGGCUCACAGCCCUGAUUCCGCCUGGCACCGGUUGCUGACGAGCAGCGGUGGUUACAACAGGUUACAGGUAGCGCGGGUUGUAUGCCAGCACAGUGUGUUUCCAGCCGGUGUGGCUGUCCUGGAAUCGUUGUCAGCCCUCAAAGGUCAUGCAGUCCAUCCCAGCCCAUACAUAGAAUCGGGGAAUACAUAUCCUUCCUGCCUGAUGUUUAUCCUAUUGAUUCCUAAUAACCUCUGAUGACAGAGAUACCCGAGCUUCCCAGACAGAGUUUGACAUUUAACAGCCCUACCAGCAGGUUUUUCAUACGAUCUAAGCAGAAAUAUUGCUCUGUUUUCCUUUUUGGGGUACACACAGGGAAGUUCCUUCCCUCACUGCAGGAGCUCUUUGGUCUGUGGUCGCUCCGCUGCUCCCCUCAGGGCUGUCAUGCUGAGCUGAUGCCCAGCACAGGGCUGAGGCACUGCUGUGCUCAGAGAGCAGAGCUCACUGUGGGUCUUAUCCUUCUUGCUGUUUACUUUUGUUGCUUUGUACUUUUGCUACAGAUGAUGCAUUGGUUUUAAUGUUUUUUGUCCCAUCUGGCCUUCAGCCAUGCUUCUCCAGAACUUUUCCUGCUUUCCGUUCCUCACCUGUUUCAUUGCUCUCACCAAAUCCCAUUACGUCACACUUGUCCUGGCUGAACCACGUCUUCCCUGUUUUUACAGAUGAGCGCAGGGGGUCGGGAUUGUUCCAAAUCCUGCUCUUAUGCUGGCAGUCCCUCAGCUGGGGGUGGCCUUCAAAUGCCAACAGUGCAUUUUGUGUCCCAACAACCAGCUCAUGGAUGGGAGUCCCAGUCUGGGCUGGCUUCCCUGGACCAUUCCUCAGUCAGGUCCUCCCACUCCUUGCUUUAUUGGCAAACCCCAUUCACACCCAUUUGUGCCCGCAGUGGGGCACCCACCCUGCAGUAGCCAGGUCCAUCUCCAGCAUCCCAGCUCUAUUAUGGGAUGUCAUAGCCCUGCCACAGAAAUACAAUGCGUUUGCAGUGAUUUGGUUUUGGUAAAUAAGGGUUUCUUGUGCUCGGGUUCUCAUCACUGUCUAAAUACUUCAUUGAAGUUAAGCUGAUUAAUCUGUAAUAUCCCAGAUCCUCCUAUCCCCAUGCCCUGGCUUCUCGGGGCAGGCUGUGUCCAUCACUCACUGCAGAUCGCUGUCCCCUGCCAGGACCUGGGGACAGCUCUGGUGACACCGCUCUGCACAAGUGGGGAACACAUGGAUGAUAAAGAGACAGAAAGCAUCGCAGAGCCUGCUUGCCUCUGUCACCUGCUCUUUGUUGGGAGGACAAAACAAUUAACUGAAAGACGUUCAAACAGGUCUGACCAGCUCCAGAGCCGCUCUCACACGGCCGUUCAGGGUUUGCUUACCCACUGCAGGCAGCACAGGGGCGAUGGUGCCCUCCUUGUGGUGCAUGAUGUUGCAGGCUGGCAGCCCUUGGGAGCAGCACCCAGCAGCUUUCCUGCCUGCAGAUGAGCAGCAGAAGGGAUGAGAACAAGUUCUGGUGAAACGCUAUCUGGUUGGUGGGUUUCCUCCUUUGAUAUGAGGACUGUCUGGAUGUGGCAGGGCUUCCUGCUGCUCUGUCCUUUCCGUUCCUUGCUCCUGCACCCAGAGUUCUGCAGCUCCUGUUGGACUUUGCGGGUCAUGUCCCUGCUCAGGGCUGGGGCUGUCCCUGUGUGCGACAUCCACAGUGUAACAUGUACCAACCUGUGGAGGCUGAGGGGGUGCAGAUGGGGGCUCUGCAAAGGAGCUGCGGAGGUUGGAAAUCUGUCAUUAAAAUGCACAACAAAUAACAAGGAUGUGCAGGAGUGUUUCUGAGAGCCCCUGCUGGGUCUGUGCAGUGCUCACCAGCAGCUGUGACUGAUGCUCGGAGUGCAGCAGCAUGUACAAGAUUAUCUUGCUUAUGGUUUGACCAAAUUCAUCCAGAGAAUGAGUGGCACCGUGCAAUCUGUUGAUGUGCAUUUAUCAAAAUAAAUCUUUCAUUGCCUGGAGCCAACUGUAUUUCUGCUUAUAUCGCUUGGCAAUUUACUGUUGGGUUUUCACACUGAGCUCUCACUCUGUGUGCCCUUAUGGGUGUUCCUCUGCUGCUGGGAUGGAGUUAGGGACAGAAGCAGAACGGGUUGCUGCACACCUCUGGUUAUACCGAGCAUGUCCUGUGGUUUACUUCUCUUGCAGAACAAAACCAUUUCUGCUUUGCGAUUCCCUUUGAUUCAUCUGGAAGAAAUCAUUGAUUUGUGCUUACAUCCUGAAUGUUCAUUGAUUAUUCACUUAGUGUUUAAGGUAAAGCCCAUCUACAGCUUGCUAGUUUAAGUGAAACUGCCACUCAUCUCCGGAAACCUUUGAAGCCUGCUGAAUUAUGAAGAAAUUGCUUUAGUGAUAAACUGGGCAAAGCUGCUCCGCCUGAUCAGCUCUGGUACGGCUGCAGUGGGCACAGUGCUGGUGUUGGUUCUCCCUGCACACAGAAACCCAGAGAACCUUUUUUGGUGAAAGCCAUGGAGAAAUCCACAAAACACUGCUUCUGCUGAGCGGGUGGGAAGAGCUGAGGCGAAGGGCAAAGCUGAAACCCAUUUUGGGGCAGAAUGGCAGAAAACUUUUGCAUGGCUUUUGGAAUUAUUGAGGUUGGAAAAGAUCACAGAGAUCACCAAGUCCAACCACUGACCCAUCACCACCAUGCCCACUAAGCCGUGUCCUCAGUGCCACAUCUUGCCCAUUUCUUUCAAAUCUUUGCUGGAUGUGAACUCACUUCUGCAGCAGCCAACCUACCGACCAUUGGCCCACUGUUGGCCCCAGUGAACGCUCACUGAGAUUUGCAACAAUUGGAUUCCAAGUGACAGUGAACAGCAAACACACCCAAGCCCUGGGAUGUGCCAUGCAGCUCUCCUUGCCUUUCUUUUCCAGUCUUUGGGUUUAGGAAUCCCUGGAGAGCGAGACCGGGAUGCCUGCGGGGUGGAUGGCAUGGAGCAUCCCAGCUCAUGGGGAAAAACUUCCCUCCUCGCCUGCAGGAUCCAACACCGAUGUUCCCACGCUGGUUCUGAGGUUGGCCUCUUGUUUUUUCCCAAGUGGAAGCCCGUGAGGUCAGCAGGGCUCAGUGCAUGCAGGCAGAAGUCGCUGCCAAAUUAAGGGAUUAUGAAAACUAUUAAAAUAAAGGAAGGGUUUUAGCUGGGGCUGGAAGGUUGUACUGCUAGAAGGAGAGGCUUUUCAGGGAUUGCUGAUCGAGCAUCUGCUUAAUAGCUUCCUGGCUUGGGGAGAGGAUUGUUGUCUUUGACAGAGGGAAAUGUGUUUUCCUGCCUUUCUUAUUGUAAUUGAGGUGUAGAGACUUUUUAUUCAGCGAUGACCUUUGUUUUGUUUGUGGUAGAACAGCUCACGUCAAGCUUCUCUUGCAUUGCAAGACAACCCAAGGAGGACAGGUCUCUGUUUUAAACCAUCUUUCUCCUUUCUCUGCAGCAUUGGCUGCUUUUCCAUGUGCUUGUGUCCCUCUUGAGUCACAUUCUUUUUUUCCUUAUGUUAGUUGAGCUGCCUUGUCAUUUGCUUUUAUCCACAACCUCACGCUUGUGGUUUAGGGUUUGCUGCAGUGAGUUGAUACUAACCUGGGGAAGGUCACUGCGCUGGUACCAGUGCCACUGCCUGCUGCCUCACCUAUUCCUCCAGGAGUUUUUGGACCGACUGGUUCUUUAUGACAUGGAUGUGCCCUAAAGGAUAUGAGGUAGUUUUUCUUCUCUCCCAGUGAUGGUGAGAGCUUUCUGGAAGCAAAAAACAUGCAGCAUUCCCAUUGCGUGUCCCCACAUAAGCAAGAACUUGCCUGUGUUGGGUGCCUGGUGGAUGAGUGGGCUUGGGUAGGGUUAGGCUCUCUCAGGAUUGACAGCUCCCUUAGAAAAGUGCCCAAGGAGUGAAUUAUUCAGUUAAUGCUGGCAAAAGCAGUGUGGUGUCCUCCUCUCCCUCCUGUCAAUGCCCAGACUCUAAUGUUGUGCUUUUGUUUGAUCUUGCCUUUCCUGUUUUAACGAUGCCUUUUUGGUGCCAUGUCUCAUUGGGGUUUCUUUGGAGCUGUCUUUGAUAUCUUUUUCCCUCUUUGUCUUCCAUUUCCCUCAAUUUCCUCUCUUCCUUCUUCCUUUGAUUUUGUAGAAAAUGACCAGGAUGGACUUACUCUAUGUCUCUUUCUCUCUUAAGCUUGUCUAAUUUGACUUACCUACUAUUCACGGACCUUUCCCAGAUGCUUACCUAACACUGGCUUCAUCAGCUCCACAGAGAGCUGGCUGAUCCCACAGAUUCGUUGUACCCCAGCACUUUACCUCUUUGGGUGGUUAAUUGAGAGUGGUUGCGGGGUUGGGCACAACAAACUGUAGGCAGAAAAACAGUAAAAGCAGAGGGAAUGUUUUAAUGCCAUGGCUGAGCUGAAACUUUCUGAUCUGAGGGAAUACUUGGGGCCUUGAGGGACAUUGAGGGAGCUUAUCUCACUCCUAGAUGGAGCCCGAGGUUAAUCAUAGAAUCAUAAAGGGUGGAAAAGACCCCUAAGAUCCCCAAAUCCAAUCCAUCCCACCGUUGCCAUAACCACGUCCCUCAGUGCCACAUCUCCACGGUUCUCAAACAACCUCCAGGGAUGGUGACCCCCCACCUCCCUGGGCAGCUGUGCCGUUGCAUCACUGCUCUUUUGGAGAAGAAAUGUUUCCUACCAACCAGCUUGAACAAAGGAGAAUGAAGCGUUGUGUUUCAAACCUGGUUCAUUUGCUGAUGUCGGGAAUGGAGAGGUAUUUAAAAAAAAAAAACAUAAGAACUGGUAACUCAAAUUCAUGCUGCAUGCAAAUUUCUUGGUUUGACGGCUGAAAUUCUUCAUUGUGCCAUCAUUCUGGUGAAGACCAAUGAAAUGUGGCUUUUCCCUGAGCUGGAAGGCUGUGACGAGGGAGGGGAUAAGCGACCAGAAUGGCAUUUGUGCAUAACUGGGACAAGGACUGUGGGCUGGCUCCAUAUACAUCAUGAAUCGUGAUGCAAAGGGAAGCCGGGAGCAGUUUGGAUCCCGUCGUGUAUCGUUGGAUGACCACACUGGGCUCAGCUUUGUCCCCAUGCACACGUUGGGAAGAGGCAAAAUCGUGUCCGUGACAAUUGUUUUCUGAUUCUUUUCAUUACCUUGCAGAGCAAAAUGAUAAAAAGAGCCUCAGAAAAGAGGGCAUUGCAGCAAGCCCUGGCAGGGAGGUAAUCUCUUUUCUUCGUACCGAGGUAUAAAGAUAAUUCCGAUCGGGAUUGAAGCAGCGGAUGGCAAAUAAUUCUUGAACAAUCCGCUUAUGGUGUUCCAGGACGCGAAUGAAAACCACUAAUGGGAUAAAGAAGGAUCUAGAUAAUUAUCUCAGCUGCAUUAAAUCCUGUCGUUUCAGGAGAGUACUCUUGUGGACACUCAUUUCAUGUGUACAAAAUGCUAAAGCUGACCAGACAUUUUCAGAAGCCAGCUCAUCCCAAAACAAAGACAUCAUUGCUUGGUGUUCGGCUGUCUUUUAUCUACCUGGCUGGUCCUAAUAAAUCUCAUUUCUGCUCUCUGC